RNAcentral lists this ribosomal RNA (392 nucleotides) under Stenus nitens. RNAcentral describes it as "partial 16S ribosomal RNA". The stretch from base 1 to 117 matches the Rfam family "Eukaryotic large subunit ribosomal RNA", at positions 2200 to 2351 of the family's 3401-position model. The record is from RNAcentral. Lineage: Eukaryota; Metazoa; Arthropoda; Insecta; Coleoptera; Staphylinidae.
UGCCCAAUGAAAAUUAAAUGGCUGCAGUAUUAUGACUGUACAAAGGUAGCAUAAUCAAUAGUUUCUUAAUUAGAAGCUGGAAUGAAUGGAUUAACGAGAAAUUAACUGUCUCUAAUUUAAUAAUAGAAUUUUAUUUUUAAGUUAAAAAGCUUAAAUAUAAUUAAAAGACGAGAAGACCCUAUAGAGUUUUAUAUUUUUAAAAAAUAUAUUUAUUAUAAAUAUUUUUAUAAAUAUUUAAUUGGGGUGAUUUAAAAAUUUAAAAAACUUUUUAUAUAUUUAAACAAUAAUUUUUGAUUAAAUGAUCCAUUAUUAUGAUUAAAAGAAAAAAUUACCUUAGGGAUAACAGCGUAAUAUUUUUUUAAAGUUCAUAUUAAAAAAAAUGAUUGCGACCU